This is a long non-coding RNA of Xenopus laevis (African clawed frog), 417 nucleotides long. RefSeq lists it as uncharacterized. The transcript has 5 exons. NCBI's taxonomy places the organism in Eukaryota, Metazoa, Chordata, Amphibia, Anura, Pipidae. The record is from RefSeq and is a predicted model, not a curated record.
CAGACAGGGUCACAGACGGCACCCGACGCUGCAAAGAGCGGAGCGGCUGGGGGCACCCCUUUUACAGAUACAAGCCAUCACACCCUCCUGGAUCACAAAGUAUGUAACUGCUUCUAAGGUAAGAGAAACAGCAGAGAAAGUUCAGUGAAUGAGGUUGGAAGCCUAAUAGAAAAGAGGUGAAACCCGUCUAUAGGGCCAUUCACCCAGAAUGUGAAACCAGAACAAAGAGUGGCCCAGAGGGACAAGAGAUCUAUAUCCACAAAGCAAAGCGAGCAACGCUCUGCAGAAACCGCUUUCACCUGAAGAUUAUUUGCACGCAAACUCCCAGUUUGCAGACCCUCUUUAAAGAAAAUGCAGUGUGAUUCCGGACCAGAAAGUACAAAAAUACCUUACCUUGAUCACGUGAAACUAAAUGAU